This 253-nucleotide ribosomal RNA is filed under the name uncultured bacterium. RNAcentral describes it as "partial 16S ribosomal RNA". It matches the Rfam family "Bacterial small subunit ribosomal RNA", at positions 524 to 776 of the family's 1533-position model. The record is from RNAcentral.
UACAGAGGUCUCAAGCGUUGUUCGGAUUCAUUGGGCGUAAAGGGUGCGUAGGCGGCGCGGUAAGUCGGGUGUGAAAUCUUGGAGCUUAACUCCGAAACUGCAUUCGAUACUGCCGUGCUUGAGGACUGGAGAGGAGACUGGAAUUUACGGUGUAGCGGUGAAAUGCGUAGAUAUCGUAAGGAAGACCAGUGGCGAAGGCGGGUCUCUGGACAGUUCCUGACGCUGAGGCACGAAAGCCAGGGGAGCAAACAGG